CACCGCCUGCAGCUUAUUGGAAAUCCGAUUAAAUAUGACAGAUUAACCUUUCAAGAAAACAAGCUUACAAUUAUGUUAACUCCAUCUGCAACUCACUCUGUAUAUUUGCCUGUCACUUAUCAGUCAUCACCAAUCAAUUCACAAAAUGGUAUUAAAUUGACUUGAAAUAUGGAAAUUAAUAAAAAUACAUUUGCAACUAAAUAAUAUCAGCCGAUAAUAAUAAAUUGUACGAUAAAUAUUUAAAACAUAAUAGGUAAAUAGGUUUAUUGUUUUAAAUUUCUAAUCGAAUGUAAAAUGUAACUUCAGUCCCCACUCUCCCGUACACAAAUUAAUAAUAAAUGUAUUUUAUUUUGAGAUUUCAAAAUAUAUGCUGCUCACUCUUUUUUUAAA
Long non-coding RNA from Aphis gossypii (cotton aphid), 390 nucleotides. RefSeq lists it as uncharacterized. The transcript is spliced from 2 exons. Lineage: Eukaryota; Metazoa; Arthropoda; Insecta; Hemiptera; Aphididae. The record is from RefSeq and is a predicted model, not a curated record.